This 392-nucleotide ribosomal RNA is filed under the name uncultured bacterium. RNAcentral describes it as "partial 16S ribosomal RNA". It matches the Rfam family "Bacterial small subunit ribosomal RNA", at positions 523 to 918 of the family's 1533-position model. The record is from RNAcentral.
AUACGUAGGGGGCGAGCGUUGUCCGGAUUUAUUGGGCGUAAAGGGUGCGUAGGCGGCCUUGUAAGUCAGAUGUGAAAGAUCACGGCUUAACUGUGGUAAGCAUUUGAAACUGCAGGGCUUGAGUACAGGAGAGGAGAGUGGAAUUCCUAGUGUAGCGGUGAAAUGCGUAGAUAUUAGGAGGAAUACCAGUGGCGAAGGCGACUCUCUGGACUGAUACUGACGCUGAGGCACGAAAGCGUGGGGAGCAAACAGGAUUAGAUACCCUGGUAGUCCACGCUAUAAACGAUGAGUGCUAGGUGUCGGGGGUCAAACCUCGGUGCCGCAGUUAACACAUUAAGCACUCCGCCUGGGGAGUACGGCCGCAGGGCUGAAACUCAAAUGAAUUGACGGGG